This 232-nucleotide ribosomal RNA is filed under the name uncultured bacterium. Its description in RNAcentral is "partial 16S ribosomal RNA". It matches the Rfam family "Bacterial small subunit ribosomal RNA", at positions 118 to 350 of the family's 1533-position model. The record is from RNAcentral.
UGGGCAACCUGCCCCUCUCUCUGGGAUAACCCCGGGAAACCGGAGCUAAUACCGGAUACUCCGGCUGGAUCGCAUGGUCCGGCCGGGAAAGGUCCGCCGGAGAGGGAUGGGCCCGCGGCCUAUCAGCUUGUUGGUGAGGUAACGGCCCACCAAGGCGACGAUGCGUAGCUGGUCUGAGAGGACGAUCAGCCACACUGGGACUGAGACACGGCCCAGACUCCUACGGGAGGCA